UACAUGGUUAUCCUUGGCCCACCGUAUACAGUAUACACAAUUAUAUGUUAUCUUCUUUGGAUUGGAUCCUAUGAGGUUCAAUUAUUGAUUGUGUGGAGAGAUGGGAGCCUCGGCUAGAUUUUGUCCGUUUUGAAUGAAAUUAAGGGAGGUGUAUUAGUUCAAGACUUAUGUAGAUUUUAAAAGUCCGUGGAUUUUAAAAGUCUGUAGAAUUCUCACGGAUUCUUCAUAAUUUUGAGUGAAUUCUCGGUCAGAUUUUUAAUGAAUUAGCAAGAAUUUGACUUUCGGACUUGAAAUCCACAAACCUAGCGCGCGCGGGGAUUGAACGAGCGAUGGACAGGCACCCAGCGGCCGCUAGGGGUCCAGCGAGCGCUGGGUUUGUGGCCAGCGUUGGGUUCCAGCAGCGCUGCCUACACAGUGAGCGCUGGACACCAGCCAGCGCUGGGAUCUCCUCUAGAGCAGAGCAGCACCGGAUAACAAGGUGACGGAGUCUUGGGAAGCUGCUCUCAUCGCUUGCCAUUGCACCAGCUGCACAUCUUCAAGUAGCAGGAACUGCAGCUUGCUGAACUCUUGCUCUGCUGCAUCCAGGUAAGUAUUAUCACAUCACCACGCUCCGUUGAGAUGGCGGCGGGAGAUCGACACGAUUGGCUCUCUGCUCGUCCUCAUAUGGUCCCGUCGACGAUCUGCUUGGGGUGGCAUCCGUUACAUCUGGGUUCGGUGAUUUGUGGGGUUGACGCCGCAUUCUUCAAUGAUUCCAAUACCAUGGGUGUUUGGCGUGGUGGUACGGGAUCAUGAGCAGGGGCGGAGCUAGGGGUGGGGGAGGGGGGUCACUGGGAUUUUCAAAAAUAGUAGUAGGUAAUUUUAUAUAUUAAAAAUAGAAAAAUAUAUUUUUAUCUUCAUCAUUAUCAUAUUGAGCUAUUUUAUAUUGUAAUUGAUAUGUAAGCUUAGAGUUGAGAUAUUUUGAAGAAAUAAACACAUAACUAAUUUAUACAUCA
Long non-coding RNA from Salvia miltiorrhiza (redroot sage), 992 nucleotides. RefSeq lists it as uncharacterized. The record is from RefSeq and is a predicted model, not a curated record. The transcript is spliced from 2 exons. NCBI's taxonomy places the organism in Eukaryota, Viridiplantae, Streptophyta, Magnoliopsida, Lamiales, Lamiaceae.